Molecule: long non-coding RNA, 188 nt
Organism: Exaiptasia diaphana
Lineage: Eukaryota; Metazoa; Cnidaria; Anthozoa; Actiniaria; Aiptasiidae
Exons: 4
Source: RefSeq, a predicted model, not a curated record
UUUCUGCUUCCAAAAAAGCUAAUGAAGAUGAAGGCCGUAAUACUAUGCUUGCUUGUUUUGACUGUAAUGUCUGCUUCAGCUUUCAAGCGACAGCUCUAUGACCAGCAUCUGCAACACAAUCAGCAACAACAACGUGGACCAUUGAAUGAUGACCAUACGACGCCCGUACGUAUUCAAACUAUUGAAAG